GUGUUAGACACUCUCACAUAUGCAGCAUGUAUUAUUGAGACAAUAGCAAGGUCGGUCCCCAUGAUCCUUGCCACAGUGCUGACAAGUCCUAUCGUGUUUUGUUACCGGAGCCUGAGAAGGAGCCUGAGUCACUGGUCUAAGCCUCUUGUUCUACAGAACCAGUGCAGUGGGUGCUGAUAUGCGGUAUGAAAUCGGGGGGUCUGAAAUUCCCCAUUGCUGUAGAAAAGAUGCAAAAG
This 236-nucleotide long non-coding RNA is filed under the name Carica papaya (papaya). RNAcentral's name for it is "long non-coding RNA (CPAP_LNC011449)". The record is from RNAcentral. Lineage: Eukaryota; Viridiplantae; Streptophyta; Magnoliopsida; Brassicales; Caricaceae.